Molecule: ribosomal RNA, 958 nt
Filed under: Cassidulinoides sp.
Lineage: Eukaryota; Foraminifera; Rotaliida; Cassidulinidae
Description: partial small subunit ribosomal RNA
Rfam family: Eukaryotic small subunit ribosomal RNA
Source: RNAcentral
AAGGGCACCACAAGAACGCGUGGAGCAUGUGGCUUAAUUUGACUCAACGCGGGAAAUCUUACCGGGUCCGGACACACUGAGGAUUGACAGGCAAUAUUAUAAUUUUUUAAUUGAAAUAAAUUUUUAUUAAUUUAUUUUUUUUAUUUUUUAUAUGUUAAAUAUGCUAGUCCUUUCAUGAUUAUGUGAUAGGUGGUGCAUGGCCGUUCUUAGUUCGUGGAGUGAUCUGUCUGCUUAAUUGCGUUUCACUAUUGGGCUUAUAUAAUUACGUAUGUUGUUAACGCUUUGACCCCUUUCUACGGAUUGUGCGUGUCUUUGUCUCGUUUAACUCAUACAAUUAAGCCCUGAAAGCAACGAACGUGACCGCAACCUCUUGUUGCUCUCAUAUUACCUUAUACUGCAUAAUAUUUGAAUAAUUUAUUUUAUUUUUUUUUAUGUUUAAGAGAGCUUUCUAAACUAGAGGGACCGCUGUUACUUCCUUAAACCAGAGGAAGGUUGCGGCAAUAACAGGUCUGUGAUGCCCUUAGAUGUUCCGGGCUGCACACGUGCUACAAUGAUUAUUGCAGUGAGCAUCUCAUUUUUUACACAUCGCAUGCGCGAGUCCAUUUAUUCAGAUAUCUUUCAUUACUUUCGGGUAGUGUAGUGUUUGCUUUAAAUGUGUAUCUCUGCGCGCGAUAAAGCCUGCUUCGAAAGUAAGUGGGUAAUCAAUUAGAAGUAAUGAUUUCCUUUUUUUUUCUGCACACAUAUAUAUGGCACUUAUACCCGGGUAACCUUGUUGUUACUUUUGUGCGUAUACGUGAUAAUCUUUACCGAUUAUACUACCAUAUGUGCAAUUGUCAAUUCAUGGUGGGGACAGACCAUUGUUAAUUGUUGGUCUCGGUCUUAACUAGGAAUGCCUUGUACGGAUCUUUGGUUCAACAAACCAUCCGGAAUACUCCCUGCCCUUUGUACACACCCCGUC